CUACGUGCCAGCAGCCGCGGUAAUACGGAGGGUGCGAGCGUUAAUCGGAAUAACUGGGCGUAAAGGGCACGCAGGCGGUGACUUAAGUGAGGUGUGAAAGCCCCGGGCUUAACCUGGGAAUUGCAUUUCAUACUGGGUCGCUAGAGUACUUUAGGGAGGGGUAGAAUUCCACGUGUAGCGGUGAAAUGCGUAGAGAUGUGGAGGAAUACCGAAGGCGAAGGCAGCCCCUUGGGAAUGUACUGACGCUCAUGUGCGAAAGCGUGGGGAGCAAACAGGAUUAGAUACCCUGGUAGUCCACGCUGUAAACGAUGUCGAUUUGGGGGUUGAACUAUAAGUUUGGCGCCCGUAGCUAACGUGAUAAAUCGACCGCCUGGGGAGUACGGCCGCAAGGUUAAAACUCAAAUGAAUUGACGGGGGCCCGCACAAGCGGUGGAGCAUGUGGUUUAAUUCGAUGCAACGCGAAGAACCUUACCUACUCU
This 479-nucleotide ribosomal RNA is filed under the name uncultured bacterium. Its description in RNAcentral is "bacterial SSU rRNA". It matches the Rfam family "Bacterial small subunit ribosomal RNA", at positions 501 to 981 of the family's 1533-position model. The record is from RNAcentral.